Molecule: ribosomal RNA, 498 nt
Filed under: uncultured bacterium
Lineage: Bacteria
Description: partial 16S ribosomal RNA
Rfam family: Bacterial small subunit ribosomal RNA
Source: RNAcentral
AUUGAACGCUGGCGGCAUGCCUUACACAUGCAAGUCGAACGGUAACAGGUCUUCGGAUGCUGACGAGUGGCGAACGGGUGAGUAAUACAUCGGAACGUGCCUAGUAGUGGGGGAUAACUACUCGAAAGAGUGGCUAUUACCGCAUGAGAUCUACGGAUGAAAGCAGGGGAUCGCAAGACCUUGUGCUACUAGCGCGGCCGAUGGCAAAUUAGGUAUUUGGUGGGAUAAAAGCUUACCAAGCCGACGAUCUGUAGCUGGUCUGAGAGGACGAUCAGCCACACUGGGACUGAGACACGGCCCAGACUCCUACGGGAGGCAGCAGUGGGGAAUUUUGGACAAUGGGCGAAAGCCUGAUCCAGCAAUGCCGCGUGCAGGAUGAAGGCCUUCGGGUUGUAAACUGCUUUUGUACGGAACGAAAAGCCCCGGGUUAAUACCCUGGGGUCAUGACGGUACCGUAAGAAUAAGCACCGGCUAACUACGUGCCAGCCGCCGCGGUAA